UGAGAAAAGAACAUUAAAUUCUGUCAUGUUUAUUACUCUGACAAACAAGUAAUGCUCAUGUAGUUGUGUGUAUAGUGUGUGUUAACAUCACAGGAGUGUGUAUCAGGGGCUUUGUGUGUAUAGUGUGUGUUAACAUCACAGGAGAGUGUAUCAGGGGCUGAUUGUGUGUAUAGUGUGUGUUAACAUCACAGGAGUGUGUAUCAGGGGCUGUGUGUAUCAGGAAGCUGAUUUAGCUGACAGAUGAAUUCAGUUUAGUUUGUUAUAACUCUGGGGUUUAGGCUCCAAGAAAGUGUUUGU
This is a long non-coding RNA of Carassius carassius (crucian carp), 297 nucleotides long. RefSeq lists it as uncharacterized. Lineage: Eukaryota; Metazoa; Chordata; Actinopteri; Cypriniformes; Cyprinidae. The transcript has 3 exons. The record is from RefSeq and is a predicted model, not a curated record.